This is a long non-coding RNA of Homo sapiens (human), 565 nucleotides long. Lineage: Eukaryota; Metazoa; Chordata; Mammalia; Primates; Hominidae. The record is from Ensembl.
ACAAAAAGCUUCAAGACACAUAGUUUGUUGGGCUUGUCCCACAUGGUCGCAUAAUCUGCUCAUGUGUGAAUUUCACAAACGACUCGUAUUGCUCUGCUAGUUUGGUAUUGAGGAUUUUCUCAUACUCCUCCCAAAUCUUCUCUUCAUAGUUUGAGAGACGUGUACAUAUUGUUCUAGCUUGCCGGAGGGCCAAGGUGGGCUGGUCCAUCUUCACCCAGGAGAAACCUGCAGCACUGGGUGCUGGGUGCUGAGGACUGAGGCUGGCUUUCCUAAGCACAAGCUGCUGCAGGGUCGCGGUGGGGUUUGCGUCUGAAACGCCGGCGGUGGCUCGGCGUCCCAGGGCCUGGGGCCCGGAGCCGGGCGGGGAAGCGGGGAGUGGCGCGGCCGCUUUGGGGAACCAGGCUCAGCAGCGUCGCCUCGAGCUCCGUGGGCUGCUUCGGUGUCGCCCCGCUCGCCAUGUGGCCGGGGACCGGGAGGGGACGCGGCAGUAGUUGCGUCCCAACCUCCGGACUCCUCAGCGGGGCUCUCAAGCCCAGUAGGCUCCAAUCCGUUGAGUUCCUGUUUU